Gasterosteus aculeatus aculeatus (three-spined stickleback) is the source of this 637-nucleotide long non-coding RNA. NCBI's taxonomy places the organism in Eukaryota, Metazoa, Chordata, Actinopteri, Perciformes, Gasterosteidae. The record is from Ensembl.
CCGAGAGCUCAGGCAGCAGAGUUCUCUCUGUCUGCAGGAGCUCUCGCCACACGGAGCCGACGUCCACACCGGAUUAGAGAUUACACUUCCCCACUAGGAUCUCCAAGAUGUGUUUUGGUGCAACGAGCCACUAGAUUGAGUCACAUCUGACAUCAGGGUCCGAGUAAGCUCCGCUCAUCCAAAUCACCCUGUGCGGGUAGGGGGGCUGUGCUGUGGAGGUGGCGUGUUUUUGCGUCUGCUUAUUUGCAGGGACAUCACCAUGGCGCCCGCGUCUCGUCCACAGAUGGUAAUCUCCUUGGUACGCUGUGGGAAAUAGGCCGUGACCUCUUCUACUGACUCACAAGACAUCCUGAUAUCACACGGCCGAAUGUAUGUGGACACUGAAACAUGACACACGGAUGCAAUUGUUGGACAUUGUAUCCCUAAACUACUGGAGUAAAUACACAACCGUACCUCUUCUUGAAAAGCUUUUUUCACUAGAUGAGACUUGGAACCCGGCUGCAGGAGCAACAGUGAGGUGGGUUACUGAUUUUGGGAGACACGUCCUCACAGCCGAUGGGCAACCCAGAGGUGCUGGAAGGAGUGCAGGUCUGAGCUCGGCACGGGUCAGUCCGGGUUUCUUACCCCAACGCGGGCU